UGUUGCUUAUAACUGUAUGGGCUUAGGGCUUUUGAUUUUUAGCUUGAAGUUUCUCCAGUGCAUUAAAAUGCAAAUACAUAGAAGAUGUGAAUGAACCUCUAUAAACCAUUUAUAUCUCGGUGUGAAGAGACGAUCAGAAAGGCAGUCUGACAGGGGAAAGGAGAAUGUGAGGCCCCCCUACACGGGAGUAGGAGAACAGGGAGGAACAGAGCCUCUGGUGUUGAAAUAUCCACGCUACAGUUGUGCUUGUCUGGUCCUGUUGAAGAUUUUAACGUCUGUUUGCAUAUUCCCAACUGCUGUGUGGCCAAGAAUAAGCAAGUUUAUGUAAUGUUCCAAAGAAACUGCUCAACACCAAGGCUCAUUUUAACUGAGGUCAUCAGACUGUCCAACAUCAGCAGUGGACGUGGAGGAGGAACUCCUGCAAGCCAUAAGUGAAAACUUCAUGUGACUCACAAAGGAAAGCCCUCAGGCUCAAUGCGGAUGCGCAACUGAGACCUUACAAGCCAGAGGGAUAAAGGCCCCAUCAUCCGUCUUCUCAACAGACUGCCAAUCUAGAAUUUUCUAUUCUGCAAAACUAAGUUUCAUCAAUGAAGGAGAAAUAAAGGCUUUUUUAGACAGGGGAACACUGAAAGAACUUGUCACAACCAGACCUGCCCAGCAAGUGCUCAGAUGUGCCUUAUACACAGAUCACCACAAUGAUCACUGACAAGUGCAAAGCCACUCAAACCUAGAGUUAAUAGCUAAUAUUCUCCUUUCCUGAAGUACUGCUCAGCCUCUUCUUCCAGUGAAUUUUGCUCAUAAAAUAGUA
Molecule: long non-coding RNA, 808 nt
Organism: Nycticebus coucang (slow loris)
Lineage: Eukaryota; Metazoa; Chordata; Mammalia; Primates; Lorisidae
Exons: 3
Source: RefSeq, a predicted model, not a curated record